This 315-nucleotide long non-coding RNA is filed under the name Panax ginseng (ginseng). RNAcentral describes it as "long non-coding RNA (PGIN_LNC011563)". Lineage: Eukaryota; Viridiplantae; Streptophyta; Magnoliopsida; Apiales; Araliaceae. The record is from RNAcentral.
CGAAAUUAUUAAUACCACAACUUGCGGAAUUUAGGACGUUGGCGUUGCUUAAUUCCUAGUUUUUAGCAAAAAUAGUCCUAAGAGGACUUUUAGCGAACAUGUUAUGUACGCCACUUUAACAAUCAGAUUUCUAGCCAUUUCUUUGUAUUCCAACCCGAAUUCGCCACCUUAUUACUCCGCACACUAACAACUAUACUCCAUGUCCCUAAUUCAGUCAAAAGCUAACUGAUUUAUACCAUAAAAGCAUACAUAAUCUUUCUAUCAAUUAAUGAAUUCACAUACUACUAACUAACUUUAUAUAAAUUUUGUUCAUUG